GACGAACGCUGGCGGCGUGCUUAACACAUGCAAGUCGAACGGAAAGGCCCUGCUUUUGUGGGGUGCUCGAGUGGCGAACGGGUGAGUAACACGUGAGUAACCUGCCCUUGACUUUGGGAUAACUUCAGGAAACUGGGGCUAAUACCGGAUAGGAGCUCCUGCUGCAUGGUGGGGGUUGGAACGUUUCGGCGGUUGGGGAUGGACUCGCGGCUUAUCAGCUUGUUGGUGGGGUAGUGGCUUACCAAGGCUUUGACGGGUAGCCGGCCUGAGAGGGUGACCGGCCACAUUGGGACUGAGAUACGGCCCAGACUCCUACGGGAGGCAGCAGGGGGGAAUAUUGCACAAUGGGCGGAAGCCUGAUGCAGCAACGCCGCGUGCGGGAUGACGGCCUUCGGGUUGUAAACCGCUUUCGCCUGUGACGAAGCGUGAGUGACGGUAAUGAGUAAAGAAGCACCGGCUAACUACGUG
This 468-nucleotide ribosomal RNA is filed under the name uncultured bacterium. RNAcentral's name for it is "partial 16S ribosomal RNA". It matches the Rfam family "Bacterial small subunit ribosomal RNA", at positions 28 to 507 of the family's 1533-position model. The record is from RNAcentral.